Molecule: long non-coding RNA, 1781 nt
Filed under: Marmota monax (woodchuck)
Lineage: Eukaryota; Metazoa; Chordata; Mammalia; Rodentia; Sciuridae
Source: RNAcentral
ACUGGGUCAGGACCUUUCCAUUGUCCUGUUAGAAUAUCCUUCCAAAGUACCUUAGGCUUAUGUACAUUUUUUGGAUACAUAUGUCUUUCUGUAGCACUAAGCCCUGAUGAAUCCAAAUUUAAAAAGUUUAGAGUAAAAAGGGUUAUUUUAAGUUUAUCUUUGGGGGAUAUAUACCCCUUUCCAAUUCCCUCUUUUUGCUUUAAUAAGUACAUUUUAAUAGUUUGAUGAGCUCUUUCAACUAUGCCUUGUCCCUGUGGAUUGUAUGGGAUUCCUGUUAUAUGAGUAAUACCAAAUGAUGAGCAAAAUUGUUUAAAAGAGGUAGAAGUAUAACCAGGACCAUUAUCUGUUUUUAACUGUUUUGGAACGCCCACAGUGGCAAAAUUUUGUAAGCAAUGAGCUAUAAUAUCUUUAGCUUUUUCUCCGGCAUGAAGGGAGCCCAUAAAAAAUUCGGAAGAAGUAUCAACAAUAACAUGUAAAUAUUUUAAUUUUCCAAAUUCUGGCAAGUGUGUGAUGUCCAUCUGCCAAAUAUGGUUAGGUAUCAGUCCUCUAGGAUUGACUCCAAGAUUAACUUGUGGUAAAAAUGUCACACAAUUUUGACAUUGUUUUAUUAUAUGUCUAGCUUUUUCCUUAGUUAUUUUAAAAUUAUUUUUUAAAGUAUUAGCAUUGACAUGGAACCUUGUAUGAAAAUUUGAAGCUUCUUCUAGUGUAGAGAAAAUGUGUAUGUCAUGUGUAGUUUUUUCUGCUAAAUCAUUGCCCAAACUAAGGGCUCCAGGCAAUUCUGUAUGUGCCCUGAUACUUCCUAUAAAGAAUGGAUCUUUUCUGUCACAGAUUAGACUUUGUGUAGUGGAAAACAAAGAGAAAACAGUAGAGGAAGGAGAAAUCCUACCAGCAUUUUCAAGGGAUAUUAUACCAUUAACUAUAUACUGAUUAUCAGAAAUUAAAUUAAAUACAGAAUCUUUAAACAUCACAAAAGCUUGUAAUACUGCAUUAAGCUCUACCUUUUGAACUGAUUGUUUGGGUACUAAAAAUGUAAAAGUUUGAUCAGGGGUAACUACUGCUGCUGUACCAUUAUUUGACCCAUCAGUGAAUAUAUUUGGAGCAUUCAUGAUAGGUGUUUUUCUUGUCAUUUUUGGAAAAAAACUACAGAAUGCGAAGACCAAAAAGACAACAAAGGAUUAGAUGAUAAGUGAUUAUCAAAUGAAACAUUAGAUUUACACAUGAUUAUUGUCCAAGUAUUUAACUCAUUAGCUAACUCAUCAAUUGGAUCCAUAGUAUAUGGAGUAAUAAUUUUCUUGGGAGAAAUUCCAAACACUCCCUUUGCUGCUUUUAUUCCUUUGAGUAUCAAUUGUCCUACAGCCUCAGGAUACCUAGUAAGAAUAGUGUUAGGAGAAUAAGAUAAAUGUAUCCACAAUAAUGGACCUUCUCGCCAAAAUACUCCUGCAGGAAUGUUGUUUGUUGGUAUUAUGAUAAAUAAUAAAGGCAAACAUAUCAAUUGUAUCCAAAUGCAUAUUUUCCAUAUGUGUUUCAAUAAUUUUUAAUGCCUUUCUUGCUUCAGGUGUUAAUAUGCGGGGUGAAUUUGGAUCUGAUGGACCUUUUAGGAUAUCAAAUAAAGGUCCCAACUCUCCUGUUGGUAUGCCUAGAUAAGGCCGUAUCCAAUUUAUGUCUCCCAAUAACUUUUGAAAGUCGUUCAGUGAUUCGAGUUGAUCUACUCAUAUUUGAAUUUUUGGUGGACGGACCAUGGUUGAGGAUAAUAGAACUCCUAAAUAAUUAAUUGGAAAAUU